UAGGCGAUCAGCCCCCUUUCCAGAGAUCCAGGCACAGCUACUGCAGAACACCAAAACUCACGAACUGGAUACAAAAUAGCACUCCAACUCCCGAACUGGAACCUCCCAAAUAGCUGCUAGCAGACGAACAGGAAAAGCAGACGAACAGCUUACACUCCUGGCAAUCAGUCUCUAACAGCAUACAGUGAAUCCCCCCAAGAACGAGACAAGGCUCCGUGUUGAGGGUCAAGCAGUGGUCUG
RNAcentral lists this long non-coding RNA (240 nucleotides) under Pelobates cultripes (western spadefoot toad). Lineage: Eukaryota; Metazoa; Chordata; Amphibia; Anura; Pelobatidae. The record is from RNAcentral.